GGGCCUACGGGACGCAGCAGUGGGGGAUAUUGCACAAUGGGGGAAACCCUGAUGCAGCAACGCCGCGUGAGUGAAGAAGGUCUUCGGAUUGUAAAGCUCUGUUCUUGGUGAAGAUAAUGACGGUAGCCAAGGAGAAAGCUCCGGCUAAAUACGUGCCAGCAGCCGCGGUAAUACGUAUGGAGCAAGCGUUAUCCGGAUUUACUGGGUGUAAAGGGAGAGUAGGUGGCAGAGCAAGUCCGAAGUGAAAACCCAAAGCUCAACUAUGGGAAUGCUUUAGAAACUGCUCAGCUAGAGUGCAGGAGAGG
RNAcentral lists this ribosomal RNA (305 nucleotides) under uncultured bacterium. RNAcentral's name for it is "bacterial SSU rRNA". It matches the Rfam family "Bacterial small subunit ribosomal RNA", at positions 335 to 657 of the family's 1533-position model. The record is from RNAcentral.